Molecule: long non-coding RNA, 401 nt
Filed under: Crocodylus porosus (Australian saltwater crocodile)
Lineage: Eukaryota; Metazoa; Chordata; Crocodylia; Crocodylidae
Description: lncRNA (ENSCPRG00005002265.1)
Source: RNAcentral
CGAAUUUGAAUGAAGAGCCCUGCGCUUUCGGCGCCAUUUUCGAGUGAUGCCUGAUCGCAUCGUUGCCUGCAGCGGGGGAGUUGCAGCUAACAGCGCCCGCGGUGCAGCCGCUUUUCAGUGGAAGAAAACUUAAAGGCUGAGUUUCACUUUCAAGGAAAUAACUGUCCUGACUCAACUCAUUUAGAAAAAGUUUUGACCUUUCAAUAGAGAGCUGAUUCUGGAGAACAACUUACUUCUGUGAUUGAAAAAUUCUCUCUGAAAAGCUGAUGCAGCAUAAAUAUGGUGGUUCUCCAGUUGAUCAACAGACCAUGAGCAAGUAUUCUGUAGAAGCAGGCUGUGGCUGUUUCACCUCUAUUUUCGUGUUUAGAAAUGGAUUCCUUGAGGAUCUGCUCCAUUCAUAA